GUGCUCACUUUAGUAGAACAUAUAUUAAAGUUGGAACAAUACAGAAAAGCAUGGCCCCACGUAAAUAUGACAAAUUCAUUAAGUAUUCCAUAUUUUU
This is a small nuclear RNA of Ochotona princeps (American pika), 97 nucleotides long. The record is from Ensembl. NCBI's taxonomy places the organism in Eukaryota, Metazoa, Chordata, Mammalia, Lagomorpha, Ochotonidae.